RNAcentral lists this long non-coding RNA (1232 nucleotides) under Lathyrus oleraceus (garden pea). RNAcentral's name for it is "Pisum sativum (pea) long non-coding RNA (PSAT_LNC031627)". The record is from RNAcentral. Lineage: Eukaryota; Viridiplantae; Streptophyta; Magnoliopsida; Fabales; Fabaceae.
CAGAACAUGGACCCUGAAGCAAGAAGAUGUCAACACAAGCCAAUUCCAAGAAUCCUGCAAAUCACGAGUCAGAACAUGGACCCUGAAGCAAGAAGAUGUCAACACAAGCCAAUUCCAAGAAUCCUGCAAAUCACGAGUCAGAACAUGAAAGAAGGCAUGGCAAUGAAUGAAGUCAGAAUUCAUAGGAAGCAUGAAGUAUGAUUCCAUGCUACAUCAGUCCAGGUUAGAAUUAGCAAAUCAGAAUGGGCAGACCUCCUGAAUACAUUAUUAUACCUGCUAUCAAAAUUCAGCAUAGCAUGCCAAAGUACACCAAAACAGAACAUGCCACAAACUAUGCCACAAACUGCCAUAACCCUUCAUUCACCAAACAACUUGCAGUAGCCCGUAACUCACAUCAUCAUACUGUGCUUCAUCUCAUGUCCAAGCUUUAAUAACAUUUCACAAAACUUGCAUCAAUUCAAUAAAAGAAAAUACAAGCAAAUAUCAACCAUACAAAUACCAUUCAAUGACUAACUUUAAUCAAGUUCAUCUAACAAAUUAACUAACAAUGAUAUUGAUAGUUUCAGCUUAACAUCCAACACUCUAACUAACAUUAGCAGACCUACAGGGUUCACGAACAUGACCCUUAGCAGAAUCACUAAUGGAUACCAAACAAUACAAACAACACCUAGCAGUUUUGAUAUCUUAGCAGCAAGUUCAUACACCGCAGGAUAACAUAAACUCAGAUUCGCAUUCAAAAACAUUUCUAGCUCAUGAAAUAGCAUCACAUAAAAAAAAACUCAUGACUAAUUUUGAUUUCAGAAAAAUCGCAUUUUUCCAAACUAAUUUUUCAUAUAACAGACUCCUAACAGAAUUUCAGUUUGAAGCUACUUUCAAAUUCAUUCCUAAACUACCCUUCCAAUCACUAUAUAAAUCAAACACCACAACUCAAUUGAGGCUCUGGAUUUUUCAAUUCACCUUCACCUUCAAACUCUCUCAACUCCCUCUCAUUUUCAGCUAAAAAACAUUCAUCCCACUCUCCAUUCAUUGGCUCGUUGAACCUCUUCAUCUCAUAACUCCCUCUCUGAGAAUCAGACCAGAAGCUUCACCUUCACUCUUCCAUCUCACACCCUCGUUAUCAUCUCACCUUCAUUGCAACAACAACACACACGGAAGAAAACGAAAAACAGAAACAGAGAAGAUGAAGGAAGGAUUUGUAACAGGGAAAGAAGAUUUUGAGAAUUCGCGUUUAC